Molecule: transfer RNA, 55 nt
Filed under: Limosa haemastica
Lineage: Eukaryota; Metazoa; Chordata; Aves; Charadriiformes; Scolopacidae
Description: tRNA-Cys
Source: RNAcentral
CCUCUUCUUAUCGGCUCUGUAGUGAAAUUCAUGUUGAGUUGCAAGCUCAUCGAUG